GAGUUUGAUCCUGGAUCACAUUGAACGCUGGCGGCAUGCCUUACACAUGCAAGUCCAACGGCAGCACGGGAGCAAUCCUGGUGGCGAGUGGCGAACGGGUGAGUAAUAUAUCGGAACGUGCCCCGUCGUGGGGGAUAACGUAGCGAAAGCUACGCUAAUACCGCAUACGAUCCAUGGAUGAAAGCGGGGGAUCGCAAGACCUCGCGCGAUUGGAGCGGCCGAUAUCAGAUUAGGUAGUUGGUGAGGUAAAGGCUCACCAAGCCGACGAUCUGUAGCUGGUCUGAGAGGACGACCAGCCACACUGGGACUGAGACACGGCCCAUACUCCUACGGGAGGCAGCAGUGGGGAAUUUUGGACAAUGGGCGCAAGCCUGAUCCAGCAAUGCCGCGUGCGGAUGAAGGCCUUCGGGUUGUAAACUGCUUUUGUACGGAACGAAACGGUGAGCUCUAAUACAGUUUGCUAAUGACGGUACCGUAUUAAUAAGCACCGGCUAACUACGUGCCAUCAGCCGCGGUAAUACGUAGGGUGCGAGCGUUAAUCGGAAUUACUGGGCGUAAAGCGUGCGCAGGCGGUGAUGUAAGACAGAUGUGAAAUCCCCGGGCUCAACCUGGGACCUGCAUUUGUGACUGCAUCGCUAGAGUACGGUAGAGGGGGAUGGAAUUCCGCGUGUAGCAGUGAAAUGCGUAGAUAUGCGGAGGAACACCGAUGGCGAAGGCAAUCCCCUGGACCUGUACUGACGCUCAUGCACGAAAGCGUGGGGAGCAAACAGGAUUAUGAUAUCCUGGUAGUCCACGCCCUAAACGAUGUCAACUGGUUGUUGGGUCUUCACUGACUCAGUCACGAACCUCACGCGUGAAGCUGACCGCCUGGAGAGUACG
RNAcentral lists this ribosomal RNA (879 nucleotides) under uncultured bacterium. RNAcentral describes it as "bacterial SSU rRNA". It matches the Rfam family "Bacterial small subunit ribosomal RNA", at positions 9 to 884 of the family's 1533-position model. The record is from RNAcentral.